Molecule: ribosomal RNA, 562 nt
Filed under: uncultured bacterium
Lineage: Bacteria
Description: bacterial SSU rRNA
Rfam family: Bacterial small subunit ribosomal RNA
Source: RNAcentral
CCUACGGGAGGCAGCAGUGGGGAAUCUUGCGCAAUGGGCGAAAGCCUGACGCAGCAACGCCGCGUGCGGGAAGAAGGCUUUCGGGCUGUAAACCGCUUUCAGCAGGAACGAAAAUGACGGUACCUGCAGAAGAAGGAGCGGCCAACUAUGUGCCAGCAGCCGCGGUGAUACAUAGGCUUCAAGCGUUGUCCGGAUUUAUUGGGCGUAAAGAGUUCGUAGGCGGUCGAGUAAGUCGGGUGUGAAAAUUCUGGGCUCAACCCAGAGACGCCACCCGAUACUGCUUAACUUGAGUUCGAUAGGGGAGUGGGGAAUUCCUAGUGUAGCGGUGAAAUGCGCAGAUAUUAGGAGGAACACCGGUGGCGAAGGCGCCACUCUGGAUCGAUACUGACGCUGAGGAACGAAAGCAUGGGUAGCAAACAGGAUUAGAUACCCUGGUAGUCCAUGCCGUAAACGGUGGGCACUAGGUGUGGGAUUCUAUUAACGAAUUCCGCGCCGUCGCUAACGCAUUAAGUGCCCCGCCUGGGGAGUACGGUCGCAAGCUAAAACUUAAAUGAAUUGACAG